UUCGUAGGCGGUGCGGCAAGUCGGGAGUGAAAUCUCUGGGCUUAACUCAGGGGCUGCUCCUGAAACUGCCGUGCUCGAGUGCGGGAGAGGCGAGUGGAAUUGCAGGUGUAGCGGUGAAAUGCGUAGAUAUCUGCAGGAACACCCGUGGCGAAGGCGGCUCGCUGGACCGCAACUGACGCUGAGGAACGAAAGCUAGGGGAGCAAACAGGAUUAGAUACCCUGGUAGUCCUAGCCCUAAACCAUCAGGACUUGGGGUGCAUCCCGUUUGGGGUGCGUCCCGGAGCUAACGCGUUAAGUCCUGCGCCUGGGGAGUACGGUCGCAAGGCUGAA
This 330-nucleotide ribosomal RNA is filed under the name uncultured bacterium. RNAcentral describes it as "bacterial SSU rRNA". It matches the Rfam family "Bacterial small subunit ribosomal RNA", at positions 568 to 898 of the family's 1533-position model. The record is from RNAcentral.